UAGAGUUUGAUCAUGGCUCAGAUUGAACGCUGGCGGCAGGCCUAACACAUGCAAGUCGCAGCGGCAGCGGGAAAGUAGCUUGCUACUUUUGCCGGCGAGCGGCGGACGGGUGAGUAAUGCCUGGGGAUCUGCCCAGUCGAGGGGGAUAACAGUUGGAAACGACUGCUAAUACCGCAUACGCCCUACGGGGGAAAGGAGGGGACCUUCGGGCCUUUCGCGAUUGGAUGAACCCAGGUGGGAUUAGCUAGUUGGUGGGGUAAUGGCUCACCAAGGCGACGAUCCCUAGCUGGUCUGAGAGGAUGAUCAGCCACACUGGAACUGAGACACGGUCCAGACUCCUACGGGAGGCAGCAGUGGGGAAUAUUGCACAAUGGGGGAAACCCUGAUGCAGCCAUGCCGCGUGUGUGAAGAAGGCCUUCGGGUUGUAAAGCACUUUCAGCGAGGAGGAAAGGUUG
This 455-nucleotide ribosomal RNA is filed under the name Aeromonas sp. 01WB02.1-14. RNAcentral describes it as "bacterial SSU rRNA". It matches the Rfam family "Bacterial small subunit ribosomal RNA", at positions 1 to 455 of the family's 1533-position model. Lineage: Bacteria; Pseudomonadati; Pseudomonadota; Gammaproteobacteria; Aeromonadales; Aeromonadaceae. The record is from RNAcentral.